This is a long non-coding RNA of Manacus vitellinus (golden-collared manakin), 4373 nucleotides long. RefSeq lists it as uncharacterized. The record is from RefSeq and is a predicted model, not a curated record. The transcript is spliced from 4 exons. Lineage: Eukaryota; Metazoa; Chordata; Aves; Passeriformes; Pipridae.
CUUUAUUUCAAAUCAAUUAUGAAAAGUGAGGUUGCAAUUUGGUAUAAAGAACAUCCAGAGGAAUGCAACUGCUUGCCUGAAUAUCCUCUGACUAGGUCACGAGGGUAGGACACCCACUUGAUAAGUAACCAGAGACUUGCCCAUCUGCCCAAUUUACCCCUAGUUGGUGACCAAAGAAAGAGAAAAUGGGUAGUAGAGUAAGGUGAGCUCAGGCUGGGGUGAAAUUGUACCGGUAAGGAGAACAAGUUUAAAAAAGUUUGAUGCAUCAGUUUUUCCCUGAUGACACCAGCCACGAUCAGGUCAGUGCCACACCAGUGUUCACGGGGUCUGCAGGUGCUUUGGCAGACACGCAGCCUCUCGGCUCUGUGUUCACAGCUGCACAGGCAGAGGCACAGCUGUCCCGCCCAGAGAGCUGAACACACAGGAGGGGGGAAAGGACAUUGCAUGAAGGGAACUCCAGUUCACCAAAUCCAGCCUUCCCAGUGUGCUCUUUACCUUUGCCAGGAACCCAUGGCUGUAACUGGCCGCUGCGCUGUGUGUCGUCACAAACCGGAUCUUCGAGAAACUUGGAGCAGCUGAAACCUCCAGUUCCCCCAGCAGUUCUGUGGGAGGAGAGGAAUGAAGCAGAACAGAUACAGGCUCCAGAAAUACUAUGUUCAUCUGUCUCCUGCAUGACUAGUUCUCUUGUAGUCCCGAGAUUUUUGCAAGGACAGGAAGGUUUGUCCAAAGCCAGUCUGCCCGAUGCAAAUCUCCACCAGUCUGCAGCAAGAGAAAGCAACAUUCUAAUGCGAGAACAUCCCCUUACAACACCAGAGCCUGGCAAACCACAUUCCAGCUCUGUCUACAGCACCCAAAUGCAUUUGAUCCACACAGCAAAUGCAUGAACACCAUACUGGUGAUGGAAAAUAUCAAAGACCACAGGGUGGAAGGUGGUGAUGGGAGAAGUGGGAGCAUGGCUGCCACGGGCAGGUGAAGCCCUGCAGCUGCAGUACACCUGUUUGUACAGGGAAAGCACUGCAAGCUGCCACCAUUCAUCCCCUGGGGAAAGGGGACAACACUGCACAUGGCAAGAAGCUCCUCCACAGCCAAGGGUGCUCCUGGAGCCACCUCAUAUGCAGUCACGUACACCCAACCCCUCAGAGCAUCAGGCACUCCCCCAGGCAGAGCUCCCAUCCCAGAGGUGGCCACUGGCAGGAGGUGGGGGAGAUCUGGCAUGCAUACAGCCCACAGGCUGCACCACUUGCCUGUGACUGAACAGGUACCAGAAAAUUCAUCAGCAAGAGGCUGGUACUUCCACGGCUGCAGCUGGAUGCCCUCAGAGCCGUAGGUCUGUGGCAGGUGGGAAGAUGGCUGCUCCAGGCCCGAGGACACCGAGCACAGCACACACAAUGCAGCCUCUGUUCACAGCACAAGCAACAGAAUCGAAACCACUUCAUUUCAAGGGGGCAUUCAGGCCUGGAGCCACCACUGGCACAGGGACAGCUCUCCAAAGUGGCAGAGUGCUCCUAUUGAGGGAGCAAGUCUGGCCUGGCUCCUGUGGAUACAGCAGCGUGCAACAGCUCCAAGGAUCAGGGCCACUUCAUUUGUCCACCCACAGGCUGAAUUCCAAAGCUCUAUCUCAGAAAACUAAGCAGGAUAUACGGGGGGUUUUUUCAAACAUAACAGGUUGCUUAAGAGCUAAAGCCUCUAUUUCAUUACUCCAUUGUAGCAGGAACACAGGUCUGAACCAUCAACCUUGUACCUCUCCACAGCUGCAGUGGAAAUAAUUUCAGGUACUCUUGAAUGCAGCUGACGUGUGGGAGAGGCAGGUUGUUCACAAGGUUGCCAGAAUGCUGUUUCACUUGUGCAUGCAGCAGGCAAUCCAGCAACAAGGUGCAGUUCAGCUUUGAGAUGAUUAAACAGAUGAGAAACAUUAUCAGGCUUGAGGGAUUCAGUUUAACUGCAGUUCCAUAGAAACCAGCAGUAAAAAGGCUGUAUUUUUUUCCUCAUUACCCGGAAUGCAGAACUGAACUCAAGAGACUCUUCCCUUACCUCACAGAGGCUUCACAGGCUGAUUCUUUUCAUAUUAAGACAAAAGUAUACAAAAGGAUUUGAAACACCAGCAGUUUGCCAGGGGAUUAUGAUUAUUCCCCAAACCAAAAUUAGAACGUUAUCCCUGUUUGUGUUGUGUGAGCCAGUUACUGCAUCUUCAGAGGGCACCACCUAACAUACAUUUUAUAUUCCCAUACACUUUACAGUAGCUCAUGCUGAUGAAUUGAAAGAUGCACUUUUAAGUAAAGGCUUAAAAAAAAAAAAAGUCUUCAGCUCUUUAAGAAUUGGAGCUUUUAAAGAAACCACAAAGCAAUCAGCUUUUGAAAGCUCUUCUGCCAUUCAGAGAAUGCCAUGAAUCACACACACAUUAGCAGAUGUCAUGUGCAAAUCUCUGUUGCAACACUAGGAGGACAGACCUCAACCACUUUGGCAUCCAAAAAGUCAUCUCCAUUUUAAGCCUGCUGCUGACAACUCUCAACACUGUUAAUUACACCUUGCAGCUUAUAGUUGUGAGAGUGUUGCAGAAGAUACCACAGCAAUAAUACUGAACCUGUUUAAAAGUGUGAUAACAUUUCGUGGAAACUUUCAGCUGCAGUAUUUGAGUCAACAGUUACACCUGAGGUAUCAGCUAAAGCACCAUUUAACUCCAGGUGCACAUUGUAAUGCCAGAAAAUAAGCAAAUUAAAUUAUUUAUUAAGUCAGGCAGGCAAAAGGCUUUGAAAUAAUAAUCAAACCUGUGAUAGAAGUUGAGCUUGGCAAAGCUUUAAGAGACUUUGUGCUUAAUCUUUAAACAUAGUGGAAGGCUGUCCAUCACCUUGUGUGUUUGCUGUGAGCCAUCUCAAUGCAAAAAGAACAAUACAGUUCUCAUUUCCACUAUCAAACCUAACACCUGCAGUGUCUGCAUUACAAGAAAAUUACCUGUCUCUACUGAAGAAAGCACUAUGCAGGUCUCAUUGGAGAUUUGGGGUUUUCUCUUUUACCCUAAAGGGUUAUUACUACACAGCCACUCACUAUGAGCUGCUCGUUUUAUCACAUCAUCAUAACUGACACCAGGGCCAUCUUCAGAUCUUGGGUCCUCUAUAAAAAAAACACCACCACAACAAAACCCAUAAGACUAACAGCACUGAAGAGAAUGGAAAGAAAAUUAUAAUAUUGUUUCCCCUUAUCACACUAAAUUCAUUUGCAAGACCAUUUAGCUUACUGUUCUCACCUUCAUACUCCACAUACACAUUUUCUAGUGUAGCUAUAACAGGAACUGGAGUCUGUUUAAAAACCAAGUAGUUAAUUUUCAAAUUAUUUGGGACAGGUUUUCAGAUAAAAAGCUUUUAAAAAUGCUUUAAAAAAGGAAUAUUUUUCACCAGAAUCUGCCAGUAAUAUAUGCUAUUUUAAAAAAUUUGGAUAUGCUGCAAACAUCCUUCCUACCCCCCUGAACAGAAAGAUGUUGAUCUAAACUUUAAUUCACAAUAUCGUUGCUUGGGAGUUUUACUAAAUGCAGUAAUGUUUCCUGUGCGUUUCAGCAUAGAUCAGAACUUAGUUUCCUAGGUCACCUUAAAGAUAAAAUCUUUAAGUUUUCAAGCAGUAUUUGUGUGUUAAGAAGGCCUUUCUGCACACUGUUCUACUCUGAAGGGGUAUUUCCAGCUUACAGAAGAGCAGCAUGUUUUAUUCCUGGGCACAUCUGUUUCCUACUCCUAAACUACACACUUGAUCUGCACUAAAAGUGUUAUCAACUAAAUUUAUGAAGCACUUAAGCACACUAAGUAUCUAUGUAAAUCUCUGCUCAGCCCUUUAACAGAAAAGGGUAGGGAAAGAACAUAGUGUGAAAAAUAAUGAAGGAUCUGAGUGUCAAAGUAACUCUGGUAAUCUCAAAUGUCAUAGCCUUACCUAAAAGAAGAACUGGCACUUUCUCAUUUGUGACAUUAAAAGAAGGCAAGAUGAAUUUUACAAGUUUUAUUAUACAAAAGAUGAUCCAAACCCCUAAGAGCUCUUCUACAGUUCUAAAAGUUUUGUUCUGCAACUUGUACUUCCAUAUGCUUUUCCAAAAAGCCAAAAUAAAAAGACUCAUUAGUCUCGCUUUCUUCUUAGCAAGAGUCUUGAAAAAACCCAACCGUAGCUGCAUCAAAAUCUGUUAUUUAUUCUUUGUAUUCCAAGAAUUGCUGAAGUCUUUUCUUAUGUUCUGUAGACACUUGCACUGCACUAAAAACAAAAGCAGAACAUUUUACAUUAAGUGUAAUACACCACAAAAAUAAAGUCUCAUGCCAAAAUUGAGUAUACAUUGAAAUCAAUUACACUGAAGCUAAAUUUUAGAAAACCCAGCUGUAUGAAAAGCCUAUGUUCCAAGGCAA